This 93-nucleotide signal recognition particle RNA is filed under the name Saprospiraceae bacterium. Its description in RNAcentral is "signal recognition particle sRNA small type". It matches the Rfam family "Bacterial small signal recognition particle RNA". Rfam says of the family: The signal recognition particle (SRP) is a universally conserved ribonucleoprotein involved in the co-translational targeting of proteins to membranes. Lineage: Bacteria; Pseudomonadati; Bacteroidota; Saprospiria; Saprospirales; Saprospiraceae. RNAcentral also lists the same sequence under 1 other name. The record is from RNAcentral.
GGCGGAAGUCAUUCGACAUGCUCCUUGUAACCCCCCCAGGGCAGAAAUGCAGCAAGGGUAUCGAGUUGAGCGGUUGGUUUGACUUCCUUUUUU